Molecule: ribosomal RNA, 437 nt
Filed under: uncultured bacterium
Lineage: Bacteria
Description: partial 16S ribosomal RNA
Rfam family: Bacterial small subunit ribosomal RNA
Source: RNAcentral
GAUGAACGCUGGCGGCAUGCUUAGCACAUGCAAGUCGAACGGGAAGUGGUGUUUCCAGUGGCGAACGGGUGAGUAACGCGUAAGAACCUGCCCUUGGGAGGGGAACAACAACUGGAAACGGUUGCUAAUACCCCGUAGGCUGAGGAGCAAAAGGAGAAAUCCGCCCAAGGAGGGGCUCGCGUCUGAUUAGCUAGUUGGUGAGGUAAUAGCUUACCAAGGCGAUGAUCAGUAGCUGGUCCGAGAGGAUGAUCAGCCACACUGGGACUGAGACACGGCCCAGACUCCUACGGGAGGCAGCAGUGGGGAAUUUUCCGCAAUGGGCGAAAGCCUGACGGAGCAAUGCCGCGUGGAGGUGGAAGGCCUACGGGUCGUCAACUUCUUUUCUCGGAGAAGAAACAAUGACGGUAUCUGAGGAAUAAGCAUCGGCUAACUCUGUG